GUCCUCCAGCACGAGGGGCCCGCCCACUCUCUCAUUUGCAUACGAGCUCGCCCAGCGUUGGCCUCGGGCACACGGGCUUCUCCCGAGCCCUUUCGCCCCCAGACGCAUCGGGCCUCGGAGCCGGGCCCGGGCCUCUGGGGGAGGGGAGCUGAGCACGUGUCUACUCUCGGCCUCACGAAGAACGGUGGACAAGGCGAUCCCCCACAAGCCCCACCCAAAGGUGCUGGCGGGGAGCCGGGAGGAGUCUGGGACCAGGUGGUCGCCGAGCGUGGUCGCGGACCUUCCUCGCCUGUCCCCGAACCCCGUGGGAACGCGCCAGAGACUAACUCAAGCGAAACCGCGGGCGUCCUACCCCGCCCGGCCGCGCCUCGCCUCACGCUCAACGGGGGAGGCGGGACCAAUCAGCGAGCGACGUCUCCCUUCCGAUUCCAGGCCCCCGACGCGCGGCUCACACCCCGAGCUCCCCGCGCGCCGAUUGGUUACGCGUGCCGCCGGUCCGGCCAGGAGGCGGGGCGGACCGAAAGCACAGGGAGGCGGGGAGGCGUUGCCCCGCGACUCCCAGCGCCCCGCUCGGCCUCCCGGCCCUUCUCGCGGCGCUCGGCCUCUUUCCUUCCCUCCUCCGCUCCCUCCGUCUUCCGUGCGCACUCCGCGCGGCGCUUGGCCGGCGUGCCUCGCGCCCUAACGGACGGCUGGGGACGCCAAUCAGCGGGCGGCAGGGUGCCAGCCCCAAGGCUGCGCCGGCGAAUCGGCGGGGCUCGCGGCCGGGGUGGGAGGCGGGUCUACCGCGCGGCCGCGGCGGCGGAGAAGCAGCUUGCCAGCCUGCAGCUCGCGAGCGCCGAGCGAGCCGCCCGGAGGUGGGUGCGCUGCGGCCGGCGGCCGGGGCGGAGGGCGGAAGCGGACGUGGGCUGGCGGCGAGGGCGCGGCGCGCGGGACCGGGAGGGCGGCGGGCGCGCGCGCGCCUGUGGGGAGGAGGGGCGGCGGCGUCCCCACCCCCUCCUCGGCGGGCGGCG
RNAcentral lists this long non-coding RNA (1010 nucleotides) under Castor canadensis (American beaver). Its description in RNAcentral is "lncRNA (ENSCCNG00000005675.1)". Lineage: Eukaryota; Metazoa; Chordata; Mammalia; Rodentia; Castoridae. The record is from RNAcentral.